GCUAGUGUUGCUCGGAAUCACUGGGCGUAAAGGGUGCGUAGGCGGGUCUUUAAGUCAGGGGUGAAAUCCUGGAGCUCAACUCCAGAACUGCCUUUGAUACUGAGGAUCUUGAGUUCGGGAGAGGUGAGUGGAACUGCGAGUGUAGAGGUGAAAUUCGUAGAUAUUCGCAAGAACACCAGUGGCGAAGGCGGCUCACUGGCCCGAUACUGACGCUGAGGUGCGAAAGCGUGGGGAGCAAACAGG
RNAcentral lists this ribosomal RNA (243 nucleotides) under uncultured bacterium. RNAcentral's name for it is "partial 16S ribosomal RNA". It matches the Rfam family "Bacterial small subunit ribosomal RNA", at positions 534 to 776 of the family's 1533-position model. The record is from RNAcentral.